AUCCUUCUGUAGUUCGUGAGCAUGAUGAUUGGGUGCUCACACCCAUGUGUGAGAUGUGCCACCCUCAAACCUUGUUACAAUGUCGGCACAUUACCCAUCUGACC
Gorilla gorilla gorilla (western lowland gorilla) is the source of this 104-nucleotide small nucleolar RNA. The record is from Ensembl. NCBI's taxonomy places the organism in Eukaryota, Metazoa, Chordata, Mammalia, Primates, Hominidae.